RNAcentral lists this ribosomal RNA (468 nucleotides) under uncultured bacterium. RNAcentral's name for it is "partial 16S ribosomal RNA". It matches the Rfam family "Bacterial small subunit ribosomal RNA", at positions 28 to 507 of the family's 1533-position model. The record is from RNAcentral.
GACGAACGCUGGCGGCGUGCUUAACACAUGCAAGUCGAACGGAAAGGCCCUGCUUUUGUGGGGUGCUCGAGUGGCGAACGGGGGAGUAACACGUGAGUAACCUGCCCUUGACUUUCGGAUAACUUCAGGAAACUGGGGCUACUACCGGAUAGGAGCUGCUGCUGCAUGGUGGGGGUUGGAUAGUUUCGGCGGUUGCGGAUGGACGCGCGGCUUAUCAGCUUGCUGGUGGGGUAGUGGCUUACCAAGGCUUUGACGGAUAGCCGGCCUGUGAGGGUGACCGGCCACAUGGGGACUGAGAUACGGCCCAGACUCCUACGGGAGGCAGCAGUGGGGAGUAUGAUACAAUGGGCGGAAGCCUGAUGCAGAAACGCCGCGUGCGGGAUGACGGCCUUCGGGUUGUAAACCGCUUUCGCCUGAGACGAAGCGUGAGUGACGGUAAUGGGUAAAGAAGCACCGGCUAACUACGUG